UGGGGAAUAUUGCACAAUGGGCGAAAGCCUGAUGCAGCAAUGCCGCGUGUGUGAAGAAGGCCUGCGGGUUGUAAAGCACUUUUAUUGGGAAAGAAAAACACGGAGUUAAUACCUCCGGACUUGACGGUACCCAAAGAAUAAGCACCGGCUAACUCAGUGCCAGCAGCCGCGGUAAUACUGAGGGUGCGAGCGUUAAUCGGAAUUACUGGGCGUAAAGCGAGUGUAGGCGGCUACUUAAGUCGGAUGUGAAAGCCCUGGGCUCAACCUGGGAAUUGCAUUCGAUACUGGGUAGCUAGAAUUUGGUAGAGGUAAGUGGAAUUCCGGGUGUAGCGGUGAAAUGCGUAGAUAUCCGGAGGAACAUCAGUGGCGAAGGCGGCUUACUGGACCAAAAUUGACGCUGAGGCUCGAAAGCGUGGGGAGCAAACA
RNAcentral lists this ribosomal RNA (426 nucleotides) under uncultured bacterium. RNAcentral's name for it is "bacterial SSU rRNA". It matches the Rfam family "Bacterial small subunit ribosomal RNA", at positions 355 to 774 of the family's 1533-position model. The record is from RNAcentral.